Non-coding RNA from Pelobates cultripes (western spadefoot toad), 377 nucleotides. NCBI's taxonomy places the organism in Eukaryota, Metazoa, Chordata, Amphibia, Anura, Pelobatidae. The record is from the annotation of a GenBank genome assembly.
GUCUAACAGAGCACAGUCUAUUUCGUAAUAAUUCUAUUUUUGCGCACAGUAUGUAUACAGAUGUGUAAAUAGGCUUUGCGCAUUAGAACAAAGUAGAGCAUACUUGCGAAUUUUGAUACAGGGUAGUUCACAAAACACCGCAUUUUGACCGGUCGGAGAAAAUGCGUUGGAAACUAACAAAUUCCACCCACAUUUUAAAUUCUCUGGUUUACUAAAGCCAAACGUGGUCAGGAUUCAAUCAAUCCCACGGAUUCUGUAACAUUGUUUCGAAUGAGUUCGGAAAAUUAGGGACUUCCCUAACCGAAAUGAUCUACAGCACCGGAAUCGGAGCUUUAUCAAAAACCACCAAUCGAAUGUAUCAAGCAAGUGGGAACAUG